Populus euphratica (Euphrates poplar) is the source of this 492-nucleotide long non-coding RNA. RefSeq lists it as uncharacterized. Lineage: Eukaryota; Viridiplantae; Streptophyta; Magnoliopsida; Malpighiales; Salicaceae. The transcript is spliced from 2 exons. The record is from RefSeq and is a predicted model, not a curated record.
AUAAAAAAAAAAAAAAAUUCAAACUCAAAGAAAACUUAAAAUAAUAUAGUUAUCAAUAUACGUAACAUACAGAUACGAUUUUAUGUUUCUGGUUCAGUCACUGUAUCAUUGUUGAGAUUUUACAAACAAAAUUUGUAGAGAAUUUAUCAAUUCAAUUCAGGUCUAGAUGAGUAAACAAGUGAAAUAAACAAUCAUCAGAGGCACGCAGCAUUACAUAAACUCGGAAAUCUCAAGAAAUCCAACUACAAGGAGAAAAAAUACAUGUAAAGUUGUAACAUGGUGGCAGCAUAUCGACAACAAAGGUAGCAUGUAUAAAUGCUACAAAAACCAUUUUGUGAUGUCUACUCUUAGCAUCAUAAUGCCUUAUAGGGUAUGCAUUUUCUUCCUUUCUUUAAUUUGCCAGAUUAAGCAUUUUAAUUUGGCAAUUGCAAAAUAACCAACUUCCUGAGUACAUUUAUUUAACAAUUCCCAGCCAAAGUAUUGGUUUCUAAG